RNAcentral lists this transfer RNA (70 nucleotides) under Sicista betulina (Northern birch mouse). RNAcentral's name for it is "tRNA-Thr". The record is from RNAcentral. Lineage: Eukaryota; Metazoa; Chordata; Mammalia; Rodentia; Dipodidae.
GUCUUUGUAGUAUAAUUUAUUACCUCGGUCUUGUAAACCGAAAACGAGGAGCACCUAUCCCCCAAAGGCA